CCUGGUUCCUCCAACACUACACCGCGACGAGUUGUUACAGGAGUGAGGGAAGCUUGUUUGGCCUUGGUUGAAGACCUUGUUUUUUCUGAUAAAUUGCCAGCGCCUGAUGUCGCUUGCCAGGACACUCCCAAGGCCGCCAAGAGGGGUAGCAACUACAAAGCUUGUGGCAGCCCUCAAGUAAAGAAAUCCAAAACCAAAGAGUUGACUUUAUCCUCAGAGAUAAUGCAGACCUUUCUGCAUUCCUUCAAGCCCUGAGUCAGGGCCAUCUAGCACCCCUUCAAGUUUAGGGGACUCGUUGGAGGACUCUGAUGAAGACCUGCUUUCUGCUCUGGCUUACAGCCAAUGCUUUGUCAAGUUGAAUGAUAACAUAUCCAGGGUCACAAAAGCUGUGCCAACAAUUCAGACCCAUUCAUCAUCAAUGCUAAGGAUGGGUCAGAGGAGUCUUUCCUGACAACACGGAGUCACAAGAAAGUUCUGCCUCUUUAAGUGUGGUCUUUUGGUCAGCCUUGGCUAGGUAAUAACUCGAUAAACCCCAGGCAUCAGCCCGUCACCAACCUGUUUUUUUAGGAAAGGCCCAGCUGCAACGCCAUUUAGUUUGACGACCUCGUCAGCCUUCCUUAAGGAACUUGCUGGGCAGACCCAUGGGCCCUAGCCCACUUAGUCAAGGAUUGUAGGACACUAUCUGCCAUGUACGAUGCAAAAUAACAUUGGUUGGUUGCAUACACAUAAAGUAGAUGACUGCAUAGCAGAACUGAUGCUUUCACCCGAUGAGGUCUUGAAGGAUGGCGCCCACUGUCUCAGAUUUCAGGGCAGGACCAUUGAUGAGCUCCUGUUAUGGGUCUAAGACACAGCGGCUCACAUUGGCUAUUUCUUCUGCAAAACGAGUGAGUUACAUGCACUCUCAGUACAUGCACUCUCAGAGUCCAAACUGGCUGCAAUGGAAGGCAGACAAUCUGGGUGUGACCUUCUGGCCGAAUCCAGGUUUUCUGCCCAAUGUUCUGUCACCCUUCACAUAAACCAAGCAGUAGAGCUGGAGGCUUACUUUUACCUUCCUUUUCGGAAUGUUGAGGAGGAGGACAUUUCCUGUGUCCAUUCCAUUCACUCAGGCGUUACAUUCAAACUUCUGGUACCAUCAGGAUGUCAGACCAGCUUUUCCUGUGUUUCGGCGAAGUCAGUGUCAUGCAUUGCACAAGCAGAGGCUUUCACACUGGGUUGUGGAUGUCAUCGCUCAGGCCUAUAAAGAAUCAGGAUGGUCUAACCAGGAGGGUGUGGUGUGUCCCUAUCCAGGAUUGUUGCCACAUACUGGGCUGCUCUGAGAGGCGUCCCCCUGGCUGAGAAAUUUGCUGCUGAUACCUGGUCAUGACCAUGUACAUUAUCAAUAUGAAUGUCACAUCCUGCUACACACUGGGUUCUGCAAUUCUCCCAUUGCCUUCUUCUCUUUAACUUGAAGUUAGUGGAGUUGAUUCAAGUGACCUUGUUGGUAUGACUCAUCCAUAAUUUCUACCGUGCUGACGGUCUCAAAGGUAUGAAGUAGAAGUUACGAGUAUAACUAUGGUUCUACGAUUACCCAUUAGUACUUUAUUGUGGCUCAGAAUCUUAGUCAAUAAGAUUCUGUGAGACAGUGUGUACGGUUUUAUAGGAACCGUGGGGGCACAUCAUCCCAAGCAGUUACCAGCAUUACUUUAUUGUUAUAAUUGCUCGACCUGUGCACAGCACAAUUCAUUCAUUCUUCCAAGUAAUCAUAGUGACAUUCAUAUUUUCCAAUAUCUGGUCAUUCAUGCUUUUAUUCAUGCUAAUAGUACAGUAAAAACAUUCCAUAUGA
This is a long non-coding RNA of Esox lucius (northern pike), 1822 nucleotides long. RefSeq lists it as uncharacterized. NCBI's taxonomy places the organism in Eukaryota, Metazoa, Chordata, Actinopteri, Esociformes, Esocidae. The record is from RefSeq and is a predicted model, not a curated record. The transcript has 2 exons.